Long non-coding RNA from Sitophilus oryzae (rice weevil), 795 nucleotides. RefSeq lists it as uncharacterized. Lineage: Eukaryota; Metazoa; Arthropoda; Insecta; Coleoptera; Curculionidae. The transcript is spliced from 3 exons. The record is from RefSeq and is a predicted model, not a curated record.
CCAAAAUCCAAACGUUUUUUGAAUAAAUAAUUUAUUUUAAAGUUAUUUCCUAGAGGUUUGGUUUGGCCUUCUAUAUUCUGGUAUUUGUCUACUAAUAAAUAAUAUCUUAUUUUGUAUUUCGAUGUAUGGAAAUCCGCAAGUUUUGUAUCUGAAGCCGCAAAGAAAUUUCGUUCUAUAAUGUUCUAAAUGUGAGUGCUUAAUGUCAAAAAUUAAAAUAUAUACUUGAAAUAUUUCAAGUUAUACCCUUUGCCCUUUGAAGUAAACAAAUAUUGAAGAAAGUGUUGUGCCUUCACAGAAUUUAAAUUGGCAUUAGGAAUAGAUUUCCUUGAUUUAGUAAUGAUAUUGCUCAUAGAAAUUGAUAAUAUACUAUUUUAUAUUCACUCGUUCAAGUGCUGAUCUAUUUUUAAAUUGAAUAUUUAUGUAAGUAUUAUGUAUAACACGAUAUAAAUAAUUUAAGGACAUAAGAAAUUAAAAUUUCAAGUGCCAAUAUUGAUUAUUUUUCCAGUUUUAUUCAAAUAUAUUGAAAUUAAUAUGGAAACAAAAGUUCAUAAAUAUUAGUUUGAAAAGCCAUGUCAGAAGAGUAGGAUUAAAGACAAAGUAUUAAGAGUAAUUGGGCUGUUCCUGAACAAUAUUGAAUAUAAAUAUUCAAAAAUAUGAUAAACUGCAUAUCCUACUAAGUAGAUCAAUACCAAAAUUCCAUUAGAGAAAUAAGUUAAAAUUAUGUUUUACUUGUAUAAUUUUCUUGCUAUUUGUCCACCAUUAUUUGUGACUUAGAAAUUAAAUAGUCAAAAAGAA